RNAcentral lists this ribosomal RNA (406 nucleotides) under uncultured bacterium. Its description in RNAcentral is "partial 16S ribosomal RNA". It matches the Rfam family "Bacterial small subunit ribosomal RNA", at positions 30 to 526 of the family's 1533-position model. The record is from RNAcentral.
AUUGAACGCUGGCGGCAGGCCUAACACAUGCAAGUCGAACGAGUGGCGGACGGGUGAGUAAUGUCUGGGAAACUGCCUGAUGGAGGGGGAUAACUACUGGAAACGGUAGCUAAUAACGCAUACCAUCAGAUGUGCCCAGAUGGGAUUCGCUUGUUGGUGGGUUAACGUCUCACCAAGGCGACGAUCACGAGAUGGUCUGAGAGGAUGACCAGCCACACUGGAACUGAGACACGGUCAAGACUCCUACGGGAGGCAGCAGUGGGGAAUAUUGCACAAUGGGCGCAAGCCUGAUGCAGCCAUGCCGCGUGUAUGAAGAGGGUCUGCGGGUUGUAAAGUACUUGCAGCGGGGAGGCGUUACCCGCAGAAGAAGCACCGGCUAACUCCGUGCCAGCCGCCGCGGUAAUAC